Molecule: ribosomal RNA, 469 nt
Filed under: uncultured bacterium
Lineage: Bacteria
Description: bacterial SSU rRNA
Rfam family: Bacterial small subunit ribosomal RNA
Source: RNAcentral
CUCCCAGACUCCUACGGGAGGCAGCAGUGAGGAAUAUUGGUCAAUGGCCGGAAGGCUGAACCAGCCAAGUCGCGUGAGGGAAUAAGGCCCUAUGGGUCGUAAACCUCUUUUGUCAGGGAGCAAAGGCGUCCACGAGUGGACGAAAGGAGAGUACCUGAAGAAAAAGCAUCGGCUAACUCCGUGCCAGCAGCCGCGGUAAUACGGAGGAUGCGAGCGUUAUCCGGAUUUAUUGGGUUUAAAGGGUGCGUAGGCGGGGUGUCAAGUCAGCGUUAAAAUUGAGAGGCUCACCCUCUUCGAGCCGUUGAAACUGGUUUUCUUGAGUGAGUGAGAAGUAUGCGGAAUGCGUGGUGUAGCGGUGAAAUGCAUAGAUAUCACGCAGAACUCCGAUUGCGAAGGCAGCGUACCGGCGCCCAACUGACGCUGAAGCACGAAGGCGUGGGUAUCGAACAGGAUUAGAUACCCGAGUACG